CAGCCGCCGCGGGAACACGUAGGUGGCAAGCGUUGUCCGGAAUUAUUGGGCGUAAAGGGCUCGCAGGCGGUUUCUUAAGUCUGAUGUGAAAGCCCCCGGCUCAACCGGGGAGGGUCAUUGGAAACUGGGAAGCUUGAGUGCAGAAGAGGAGAGUGGAAUUCCACGUGUAGCGGUGAAAUGCGUAGAGAUGUGGAGGAACACCAGUGGCGAAGGCGACUCUCUGGUCUGUAACUGACGCUGAGGAGCGAAAGCGUGGGGAGCGAACAGGAUUAGAUACCCGUGUAGUCCCUGUCUCUUAUAC
This 301-nucleotide ribosomal RNA is filed under the name uncultured bacterium. Its description in RNAcentral is "partial 16S ribosomal RNA". It matches the Rfam family "Bacterial small subunit ribosomal RNA", at positions 509 to 807 of the family's 1533-position model. The record is from RNAcentral.